RNAcentral lists this ribosomal RNA (437 nucleotides) under uncultured bacterium. RNAcentral's name for it is "partial 16S ribosomal RNA". It matches the Rfam family "Bacterial small subunit ribosomal RNA", at positions 341 to 792 of the family's 1533-position model. The record is from RNAcentral.
ACGGGAGGCAGCAGUGGGGAAUAUUGGGCAAUGGGGGAAACCCUGACCCAGCAACGCCGCGUGAAGGAAGAAGGCUUUCGGGUUGUAAACUUCUUUUACCAGGGACGAAGAAAGUGACGGUACCUGGAGAAAAAGCCACGGCUAACUACGUGCCAGCAGCCGCGGUAAUACGUAGGUGGCAAGCGUUGUCCGGAUUUACUGGGUGUAAAGGGCGCGUAGGCGGCCUGUUAAGUCUGGAGUGAAAGUCCUGCUUUUAAGGUGGGAAUUGCUUUGGAUACUGAUGGGCUUGAGUGCAGGAGAGGUAAGUGGAAUUCCCAGUGUAGCGGUGAAAUGCGUAGAGAUUGGGAGGAACACCAGUGGCGAAGGCGACUUACUGGACUGUAACUGACGCUGAGGCGCGAAAGUGUGGGGAGCAAACAGGAUUAGAUACCCUGGUA